This 497-nucleotide ribosomal RNA is filed under the name uncultured bacterium. RNAcentral's name for it is "partial 16S ribosomal RNA". It matches the Rfam family "Bacterial small subunit ribosomal RNA", at positions 28 to 507 of the family's 1533-position model. The record is from RNAcentral.
GAUGAACGCUGGCGGCGUGCCUAAUACAUGCAAGUCGAGCGAACGGACGAGAAGCUUGCUUUUCUGAUGUUAGCGGCGGACGGGUGAGUAACACGUGGAUAACCUCCCUAUAAGACUGGGAUAACUUCGGGAAACCGGAGCUAAUACCGGAUAAUAUUUUGAACCGCAUGGUUCAAAAGUGAAAGACGGUCUUGCUGUCACUUAUAGAUGGAUCCGCGCUGCAUUAGCUAGUUGGUAAGGUAACGGCUUACCAAGGCAACGAUGCAUAGCCGACCUGAGAGGGGGAUCGGCCGCACUGGAGCUGAGACACGGUCCAGACUCCUACGGGAGGCAGCAGUAGGGAAUCUUCCGCAAUGGGCGAAAGCCUGACGGAGCGACGGCGCGUGAGUGAUGAAGGUCUUCGGAUCGUAAAACUCUGUUAUUAGGGAAGAACAUAUGUGUAAGUAACUGUGCACAUCUUGACGGUACCUAAUCAGAAAGCCACGGCUAACUACGUG